RNAcentral lists this long non-coding RNA (672 nucleotides) under Mus spicilegus (steppe mouse). Its description in RNAcentral is "lncRNA (ENSMSIG00000010733.1)". The record is from RNAcentral. Lineage: Eukaryota; Metazoa; Chordata; Mammalia; Rodentia; Muridae.
GUUUUAUACUGGAAAGGGGGGAGUCGUUUAUUGGCAAAAGCGGGAGGGGCUAGACAGCGGACAUAUUUCAUUCUACAUAUUGGAUUUAAUAAGUGCUGUCUGUGAUGUUUGGCAAGCCUGGUUUAUAUCCAUCUACAAGGUUUGCAAACCCAUGUUGCUGAUUCAGUUCUGCUACAACCCAAAAGACCAGUGUUUAUUUUUCAUUAAAAGAGGUUUUUCUGAUGACUUGAAGAAAAUUUUUGCAAGUGAUGUGCUACUAAUUUGGCUGCAAAUCAUGUGUGCUUGCUUGUAAGUUUAUAAUGUGCUUACUAAGAGAUUCUAUUUAAUACUGUAAGACUAGUGCUUACUGGACUAAAAUGUAAAAUCUCUGGACUGAAGUUAUUAUAAAACACCAUGCAAAGGCAUUAAUUGGAUGUACAUUUUGAAGAGAUAGCUAUGACAAGGGACCAUGUAUUCCUGUAGUUGUUUCCUUCUAUAGGUUCAUUGGUUCAAACCUCCAUUUCAUUAUUCAGAUAUUUUGCAUCCUAUCCCAAUUAGUCACUUCAUCUUCUUUUUUCUAGUUACAUACAGCUUCCUUAUUUUGCUUCCAAAUUAUAUAAAGGUAGAGGAAAUGCUUGUUUAUCAUAGAAACUAAACAAUAAAUAGUUGUGGGAAUUGUUGUUUGUAUGUUGC